RNAcentral lists this ribosomal RNA (497 nucleotides) under uncultured bacterium. RNAcentral's name for it is "partial 16S ribosomal RNA". It matches the Rfam family "Bacterial small subunit ribosomal RNA", at positions 28 to 507 of the family's 1533-position model. The record is from RNAcentral.
GAUGAACGCUGGCGGCGUGCCUAAUACAUGCAAGUCGAGCGAACAGAUGAGGAGCUUGCUCCUCUGACGUUAGCGGCGGACGGGUGAGUAACACGUGGAUAACCUACCUAUAAGACUGGGAUAACUUCGGGAAACCGGAGCUAAUACCGGAUAAUAUAUUGAACCGCAUGGUUCAAUAGUGAAAGACGGUUUUGCUGUCACUUAUAGAGGGAUACGCGCCGCAUGAGCUAGUUGGUAAGGUAAAGGCUUACCAAGGCGACGAUGCGUAGCCGACGCGAGAGGGUGAUCGGCCACACUGGAGCUGAGACACGGUCCAGACUCCUACGGGACGCAGCAGUAGGGAAUCUUCCGCAACGGGCGAAAGCCUGACGGAGCAACGCCGCGUGAGUGAUGAAGGUCUUCGGAUCGUAAAACUCUGUUAUUAGGGAAGAACAAAUGUGUAAGUAACUAUGCACGUCUUGACGGUACCUAAUCAGAAAGCCACGGCUAACUACGUG